CUACGGGGUGCAGCAGUGAGGAAUAUUGCACAAUGGGGGGAACCCUGAUGCAGCAACGCCGCGUGGAGGAUGACGCAUUUUGGUGUGUAAACUCCUUUUAUAUGUCAAGAAAAUGACGGUAGCAUAUGAAUAAGCACCGGCUAACUCCGUGCCAGCAGCCGCGGUAAUACGGAGGGUGCAAGCGUUACUCGGAAUCACUGGGCGUAAAGGACGCGUAGGCGGGUUGGAAAGUCAGGUGUGAAAUCCUACAGCUUAACUGUAGAACUGCACUUGAAACUUCUAAUCUAGAGUAUGGGAGGGGGAGAUGGAAUUAGUGGUGUAGGGGUAAAUCCGUAGAUAUCACUAGGAAUACCUAAAGCGAAGGCGAUCUCCUGGAACAUUACUGACGCUAAGGCGUGAAAGCGUGGGGAGCAAACAGGAUUAGAUACCCCCGUAGUC
This 438-nucleotide ribosomal RNA is filed under the name uncultured bacterium. Its description in RNAcentral is "partial 16S ribosomal RNA". It matches the Rfam family "Bacterial small subunit ribosomal RNA", at positions 339 to 795 of the family's 1533-position model. The record is from RNAcentral.